Molecule: ribosomal RNA, 663 nt
Filed under: uncultured fungus
Lineage: Eukaryota; Fungi
Description: eukaryotic LSU rRNA
Rfam family: Eukaryotic large subunit ribosomal RNA
Source: RNAcentral
CCCGCUGAACUUAAGCAUAUCAAUAAGCGGAGGAAAAGAAACUAACAAGGAUUCCCCUAGUAACUGCGAGUGAAGCGGGAAAAGCUCAAAUUUAAAAUCUGGCGGUCUUUCGGCCGUCCGAGUUGUAAUCUGGAGAAGCGUUUAUCCGCGUUGGACCGUGUACAAGUCUUCUGGAAGGGAGCGUCAUAGAGGGUGAGAAUCCCGUCUACGACACGGACUACCAGUGCUUUGUGAUACACUCUCAACGAGUCGAGUUGUUUGGGAAUGCAGCUCAAAAUGGGUGGUAAAUUCCAUCUAAAGCUAAAUACAGGCGAAAGACCGAUAGCGAACAAGUACCGUGAGGGAAAGAUGAAAAGCACUUUGGAAAGAGAGUUAAACAGUACGUGAAAUUGUUGAAAGGGAAACGCUUGAAGUCAGUCGCGUCUUCAGAAAUUCAGCCUGGCUUCUGCCUGGUGUACUUUUCUGUUGGACGGGCCAGCAUCAGUUUUGACCGUCAGAAAAAGGCGAGAGGAAGGUGGCACCUCCGGGUGUGUUAUAGCCUCUCGUCGUAUGUGACGGCUGGGACUGAGGACCGCAGCACGCCUUCAUGGCCGGGGUUCGCCCACGUAACGUGCUUAGGAUGCUGGCGUAAUGGCUUUAAACGACCCGUUCUUGAAAACACGG